UGUGAGAGCACCUAUACUAUUCGAGAGUCUGCCUUUGCAUAGGCAUGAUCCGAGUUUGGAACUCAUGGCCAGUCUAUCGUAGACAUGAUCACGUUUUCUUAGAUAUGCCGAUACAGCUGGAGCUUGUUGUGAGUGGCAAGUCUCUCAAGCCAAGGCACUUUGCCUCAGACUAUAUGUCUGAUAGCAGUCCUCUAGCCUUGGCUAGUUGUAAUUAACUUUUGGUGCCUCACUGUGGCAAGACAACCCGCUAGACUUAAGCAUAUUAAUCAGCGGAGGAAAAGAAACUAACUAGGAUUCCCUUAGUAACUGCGAGUGAAGCGGGAUAAGCUCAAUGUGUGAAUCGGCCGAGGAUAGUACUUCGUGUCCGAGUUGUGCACUAAGGACACUUUGUCGGCAGGGCUUGGGGCAGAAGUGCCAAUGAAACAUGGCAUCAGAGAGGGUCAUAGUCCCGUGCUUGCUCAGUCCAAGCCUGUGUGCAGCGAAAAGUGCUCCGCGAGUCGCAUAGUUUGGUAAUGCUAUGCCAAGUGGGAGGUAGAGCCCUUCUAAAGCUAAAUAUGAUGAUGUGACCGAUAGUUCACAAGUACCGCGAGGGAAAGGUGAAAAGUAACCAUGUAGAAUGGGUUGAAAGAGAAGUGAAAGUGCUACCGGGAUAAGGGCAUGUGACAGCUGGUGUCUGUAGGGCGUGCUUCAGUGCUGCCCUUCCAGAACGGUGUGCGGGUGCGUCUAGUGGGGGGACAAGGCCGUUUGGGAAUGUG
Molecule: ribosomal RNA, 755 nt
Filed under: uncultured Tulasnella
Lineage: Eukaryota; Fungi; Basidiomycota; Agaricomycetes; Cantharellales; Tulasnellaceae
Description: LSU rRNA
Rfam family: Eukaryotic large subunit ribosomal RNA (bases 221-755)
Source: RNAcentral